UAUGGAUUUAUACCUACUAGUCGUAGGAAAUUCGAUUUUCAAAAAUUUAAGGUAUUUUCUAAACGCAUGAUCACUUAGACUGUUUUAUUAAAGCUUCCGCAAUGAGGGAUGUUUCAAAACAAAUGUUUUAAAUGAAUAAAGAUGACUUCCUAAGUUCUAACAAAGCCUUACUAAAGAUAAUAACAUGGAAUGUUAUCAUCGUAACAACAAUGUUUCAAAAACACUAUUGUGUGACAUUGCCAGAUAUGGCCAUAACAUCUAGG
Molecule: long non-coding RNA, 263 nt
Filed under: Gossypium raimondii (Peruvian cotton)
Lineage: Eukaryota; Viridiplantae; Streptophyta; Magnoliopsida; Malvales; Malvaceae
Description: long non-coding RNA (GRAI_LNC001238)
Source: RNAcentral